This 465-nucleotide ribosomal RNA is filed under the name uncultured bacterium. RNAcentral describes it as "partial 16S ribosomal RNA". It matches the Rfam family "Bacterial small subunit ribosomal RNA", at positions 28 to 507 of the family's 1533-position model. The record is from RNAcentral.
GACGAACGCUGGCGGCGUGCUUAACACAUGCAAGUCGUACGGUAAGGCCCUUUCGGGGGUACACGAGUGGCGAACGGGUGAGUAACACGUGAGUAACCUGCCCACAACUUUGGGAUAACGCUAGGAAACUGGUGCUAAUACUGGAUAUGUGCUCCUGCUGCAUGGUGGGGGUUGGAAAGCUCCGGCGGUUGUGGAUGGACUCGCGGCCUAUCAGCUUGUUGGUGGGGUAGUGGCCUACCAAGGCGGCGACGGGUAGCCGGCCUGAGAGGGUGACCGGCCACAUUGGGACUGAGAUACGGCCCAGACUCCUACGGGAGGCAGCAGUGGGGAAUAUUGCACAAUGGGAGCAAGCCUGAUGCAGCAACGCCGCGUGCGGGAUGACGGCCUUCGGGUUGUAAACCGCUUUCAGCAGGGACGAAGCUUUUUGUGACGGUACCUGCAGAAGAAGCACCGGCUAACUACGUG